GGGGCAGUGGCGGAAUGGCAUACGCGUUGCGCUUAGAACGCAAUGGUCAAAAGCUGUAAGGGUUCGACUCCCUUCUGCCCCA
Molecule: transfer RNA, 82 nt
Filed under: Deltaproteobacteria bacterium CG11_big_fil_rev_8_21_14_0_20_49_13
Lineage: Bacteria; Deltaproteobacteria
Description: tRNA-Leu
Rfam family: tRNA
About the family: Transfer RNA (tRNA) molecules are approximately 80 nucleotides in length. Their secondary structure includes four short double-helical elements and three loops (D, anti-codon, and T loops).
Source: RNAcentral